ACCAGGAUGCGUACAUGUUUUCGUCGAAUCACCCGUUUCUGAAAAUUUAGGCAGGCAUACCCAAAAAUCUGGCAUCCCUGGAAACGAGAAACGUCACAACAAACAGUUUUAAAAGUCGGUCAAGUCAAAAUUACUCCCGAAUAAGAAUUUUUCGAAAAAAUUGAACGGUGACCGAUACGGAAUCGGUGCUGCUGCAGGCGUUCAAGGAAAGGAAUCGAGUCAAAAAAUGUAAAGUGCCUGACGUGUUGGCGAGAUGGAGAAAUGCUUGGUGGAACUAGUCAGGACACAACACAGUGUCCGGACCACGAUCGCUGUUGUCCUUGGGGUGUCUUUAAAUCCGUUGAAGACGGAAUUGGUCAGUUAAAACUCGCCGGCCAAGCUGGACAAGACCAAAGACAGCAGUGGAGCAGAAGCAACACAUCAAAUGCUGUAAUUUAUCAACGAUCCAGCUCAACGUUUGUUGAUUUUUAAAAGUGUACCGAGUGUGUUUGCAAAUGUCUUCGGGAUGGCAAACUACUGUUCUGCUCAGACUGGCAGAAUGCUUUUCACUAGUCAAGGAAGCAAGCGCUACCGUUGGGCAGCCGUCAGUGUUAACGAAGUCCCUCAACACUUCACUGGGUUCUGGUCAGCUGCGUCAUUACCAGCUGAUUAAGUUCACUAGGAAGCAGACCAAGACAGUCACCAACGACAAGAGUAUCGUUCAAAUCCGAGGACCUUCUGCUAACCUCCCGCCGUUCAUGAGGUUUCUUGCGCAAAGCAUAACUAUUUAUGUUCAGGUGAGUACAUUCCGCAUUGUAAUUAUCACUUCCUCAUUAAAAAAAACUUUAAGUAUCGGCU
Molecule: long non-coding RNA, 837 nt
Organism: Culex pipiens pallens (northern house mosquito)
Lineage: Eukaryota; Metazoa; Arthropoda; Insecta; Diptera; Culicidae
Exons: 3
Source: RefSeq, a predicted model, not a curated record